Molecule: transfer RNA, 88 nt
Filed under: Candidatus Bathyarchaeota archaeon
Lineage: Archaea; Thermoproteati; Candidatus Bathyarchaeota
Description: tRNA-Leu
Rfam family: tRNA
About the family: Transfer RNA (tRNA) molecules are approximately 80 nucleotides in length. Their secondary structure includes four short double-helical elements and three loops (D, anti-codon, and T loops).
Source: RNAcentral
GCGGGGGUCGCCAAGCCUGGUCAAAGGCGCAAGGCUUAGGACCUUGUCCCAUAGGGGUUCGUGGGUUCAAAUCCCACCCCCCGCACCA